UUUGGUUGUUUGGCGAUGGACUAUUCCCCUGACGUCCCCAAGGUAAUCUGGAAGAAAGGAGGGGAGCUAAUCACGACUGGAUUGAAGAUUUACCCAUCAGUGAGAAACAAGAAGGGAACCUACACCCUGAGCAGCCAGGUAACCCUGCCAGAGUCAGCGGUAGGUUGCCCCAGCAAAAUCUACUGUGAGGUUCAACACAGCGGGUCACACAAGAGCAAAGAAAUGCCAUGUCCAGAUCUAGGUAUUCUCCAACCAACUCUUCUCCUAACUGUGAGCUCCAGUGAAGAAUCGCAAGCAGCAAGUUUGCAACCGUCGUCUGUUCAAUCAUCGAUUUCCAUCCGAAGUCAAUCUCCGUGAUUUGGUUGAAAAAUGGCCGACGCUUGGAUUCUGGCUUCUUCACGUCUCCCGUGUGUGAGGCGAACGGGAACUUCUCGGUGACGAGUCGGCUUAUGGUCCCUUAUGGUGAAUGGUUCAACAGCGCAGUCUAUACCUGCCAGGUCACUCAUGGAGAGAAC
Non-coding RNA from Chiloscyllium plagiosum (whitespotted bambooshark), 515 nucleotides. NCBI's taxonomy places the organism in Eukaryota, Metazoa, Chordata, Chondrichthyes, Orectolobiformes, Hemiscylliidae. The record is from the annotation of a RefSeq genome assembly.